This 497-nucleotide ribosomal RNA is filed under the name uncultured bacterium. RNAcentral's name for it is "partial 16S ribosomal RNA". It matches the Rfam family "Bacterial small subunit ribosomal RNA", at positions 28 to 507 of the family's 1533-position model. The record is from RNAcentral.
GAUGAACGCUGGCGGCGUGCCUAAUACAUGCAAGUCGAGCGAACAGACGAGGAGCUUGCUCCUCUGACGUUAGCGGCGGACGGGUGAGUAACACGUGGAUAACCUACCUAUAAGACUGGGAUAACUUCGGGAAACCGGAGCUAAUACCGGAUAAUAUAUUGAACCGCAUGGUUCAAUAGUGAAAGACGGUUUUGCUGUCACUUAUAGAUGGAUCCGCGCCGCAUUAGCUAGUUGGUAAGGUAACGGCUUACCAAGGCAACGAUGCGUAGCCGACCUGAGAGGGUGAUCAGCCACACUGGAACUGAGACACGGUCCAGACUCCUACGGGAGGCAGCAGUAGGGAAUCUUCCGCAAUGGGCGAAAGCCUGACGGAGCAACGCCGCGUGCGUGAUGAAGGUCUUCGGGUCGUAAAACGCUGUUAUUAGGGAAGAACAAAUGUGUAUGAAACUAUGCACGUAUUGACGGUACCGAAACAGAAAGCACCGGCUAACUACGUG